RNAcentral lists this non-coding RNA (44 nucleotides) under Schistosoma mansoni. The record is from RNAcentral. Lineage: Eukaryota; Metazoa; Platyhelminthes; Trematoda; Strigeidida; Schistosomatidae.
AUCCAACUGACGAGUCUCGAACAGGAUAAACGCUCGUCCUGGAU